AUACGUAGGGGGCAAGCGUUAUCCGGAAUUACUGGGUGUAAAGGGAGAGUAGGCGGCAUGGUAAGUUAGAUAUGAAAGCCCGAGGCUUAACCUCGGGAUUGCAUUUAAAACUAUCAAGCUAGAGUACAGGAGAGGUAAGUGGAAUUCCUAGUGUAGCGGUGAAAUGCGUAGAUAUUAGGAAGAACACCAGUGGCGAAGGCGACUUACUGGACUGAAACUGACGCUGAGGCUCGAAAGCGUGGGGGGCGAACAGGAUUAGAUACCCUGGUAGUCCACGCCGUAAACGAUGAGUGCUAGGUGUCGGGGGGGAACCCUCGGUGCCGCAGCUAACGCAAUAAGCACUCCACCUGGGGAGUGCGAUCGCAAGAUUGAA
Molecule: ribosomal RNA, 373 nt
Filed under: uncultured bacterium
Lineage: Bacteria
Description: bacterial SSU rRNA
Rfam family: Bacterial small subunit ribosomal RNA
Source: RNAcentral